RNAcentral lists this long non-coding RNA (320 nucleotides) under Phoenix dactylifera (date palm). RNAcentral describes it as "long non-coding RNA (PDAC_LNC017672)". Lineage: Eukaryota; Viridiplantae; Streptophyta; Magnoliopsida; Arecales; Arecaceae. The record is from RNAcentral.
CCGAAUCUGAUAAAGAUACUUCUAUCUUUGGAUAUCAUUCAUCAAGCAAUGCAUAUAGAAUAUUCAAUGAAAAGAUCCUAGUUGUAGAAAUAUCAAUUCAUUUUAUUCUUUAUGAGACUAAUGAUCUUUCAUCAAGUCACUAAAAUCAGAUUAUAUGCGUAUAUGUUAAUCUUUUUGCUUGCAUAUAACAAUCUAAAACUAAAACACCUUAAGAAGAAUGAGCAAGAUUAUAAUUGGUCAAGUUAAACUAAAUCAUUUUUUGAAAGAGAGAGAAUUUGAAAUCUUGCCGAUAAAAUCGGAAAGCUUGUUAAUAAUUAGAA